ACAAUUUUCGGCUGUGGAUUGGGCUAGUACUGUGAUUUUAGCAUUAAGUAUUGCACAUUCCCCAGCCUGAAAGUGU
Molecule: non-coding RNA, 76 nt
Organism: Drosophila yakuba
Lineage: Eukaryota; Metazoa; Arthropoda; Insecta; Diptera; Drosophilidae
Source: Rfam